GCUGGGCAUGGUGGCUCAUGCCUGUAAUCCCAGCACUUUGGGAGGCUGAGGCAGGCGGAUCACCUGAGGUCAGGAGUUCGAGACCAGCCUGGCCACCAUGGUGAAACCCUGUCUCUA
This is an unclassified non-coding RNA of Pongo abelii (Sumatran orangutan), 117 nucleotides long. It matches the Rfam family "Metazoan signal recognition particle RNA". Rfam says of the family: The signal recognition particle (SRP) is a universally conserved ribonucleoprotein. It is involved in the co-translational targeting of proteins to membranes. The eukaryotic SRP consists of a 300-nucleotide 7S RNA and six proteins: SRPs 72, 68, 54, 19, 14, and 9. NCBI's taxonomy places the organism in Eukaryota, Metazoa, Chordata, Mammalia, Primates, Hominidae. The record is from Ensembl.